ACGGGUAGCCGACCUGAGAGGGUGAUCGGCCACACUGGGACUGAGACACGGCCCAGACUCCUACGGGAGGCAGCAGUGGGGAAUAUUGCACAAUGGGCGCAAGCCUGAUGCAGCGACGCCGCGUGAGGGAUGACGGCCUUCGGGUUGUAAACCUCUUUCACCAGGGACGAAGCGUGAGUGACGGUACCUGGAGAAGAAGCACCGGCCAACUACGUGCCAGCAGCCGCGGUAAUACGUAGGGUGCGAGCGUUGUCCGGAAUUACUGGGCGUAAAGAGCUCGUAGGCGGUUUGUCGCGUCGUCUGUGAAAUUCUGCAACUCAAUUGCAGGCGUGCAGGCGAUACGGGCAGACUUGAGUACUACAGGGGAGACUGGAAUUCCUGGUGUAGCGGUGAAAUGCGCAGAUAUCAGGAGGAACACCGGUGGCGAAGGCGGGUCUCUGGGUAGUAACUGACGCUGAGGAGCGAAAGCGUGGGUAGCGA
Molecule: ribosomal RNA, 480 nt
Filed under: Gordonia sp. (in: high G+C Gram-positive bacteria)
Lineage: Bacteria; Bacillati; Actinomycetota; Actinomycetes; Mycobacteriales; Gordoniaceae
Description: bacterial SSU rRNA
Rfam family: Bacterial small subunit ribosomal RNA
Source: RNAcentral